GACUGAAGUGAUAUAGCCCACCUGAAUCUAGGAUUUCAUCAAAUCUCAAUCUAAGCAGGGUUCAAUCUAGUGAGUUUGGAUGGGAGACCUCCAAGGAAAACCCAGGUACUACAAGAA
This is a ribosomal RNA of Chelonoidis abingdonii (Abingdon island giant tortoise), 117 nucleotides long. The record is from Ensembl. NCBI's taxonomy places the organism in Eukaryota, Metazoa, Chordata, Testudines, Testudinidae.